GCUGGUUGGAGGGGUAACGGCCCACCAAGGCGACGAUCAGUAGCCGGUCUGAGAGGAUGAACGGCCACACUGGAACUGAGACACGGUCCAGACUCCUACGGGAGGCAGCAUG
Molecule: ribosomal RNA, 112 nt
Filed under: uncultured bacterium
Lineage: Bacteria
Description: partial 16S ribosomal RNA
Rfam family: Bacterial small subunit ribosomal RNA
Source: RNAcentral